UACAGAGGGUGCAAGCGUUUGUUCGGAAUUAUUGGGCGUAAAGCGCGUGUAGGCGGCUUUGCAAGUCGGGUGUGAAAGCCCUCAGCUCAACUGAGGAAGUGCGCCCGAAACUGCAGAGCUUGAGUGCCGGAGAGGGUGGCGGAAUUCCCCAAGUAGAGGUGAAAUGCGCAGAUAUCAGGAGGAACACCGGUGGCGAAGGCGGAUCUCUGGACCGUAACUGACGCUGAGACACGAAAGCGUGGGGAGCAAACAGGG
This 255-nucleotide ribosomal RNA is filed under the name uncultured bacterium. Its description in RNAcentral is "partial 16S ribosomal RNA". It matches the Rfam family "Bacterial small subunit ribosomal RNA", at positions 524 to 777 of the family's 1533-position model. The record is from RNAcentral.